Molecule: small nuclear RNA, 199 nt
Organism: Rana temporaria (common frog)
Lineage: Eukaryota; Metazoa; Chordata; Amphibia; Anura; Ranidae
Product: U2 spliceosomal RNA
Exons: 1
Source: RefSeq, a predicted model, not a curated record
AAUGCUUUUAUACUAUGUUUGUAUCUGUUGAAAUUUUAAAUAAAAGAAUUUAAAAAAAUCUGUUCUUAUCAGUUUAAUAUCUGAAACUUCCCCUAUCUGGGGACCAUAUAUUAAAUGGAUUUUUAGAACAGGGAGCUUGCUCUGUCCACUCCACGCAUCGACCUGGUAUUGCAGUACCUCCAGGACCGGUGCACCCCUU